AUUUAUGUUUGGCCAAUAGGUCCAAAAUUAUGUUGGUGAGAUCAGACAGAAAGAUGGAGAGGCAGACAGCCUCCUGUGGCCCAUGAGGUUAAGGAUGAAGCUGGAAACAGAAAGGAACGGGAAAUGGAGGCAGUUGGGAGUUCCAACAAUAGAAAGCCUCCAGCCGAGCAGCGGGGAGGAAAGGAAGAGCUGGGGCUCAGUCACUCAAACAGACCCACAUGCCCAGGUUGUUGCCCUCAAAACCUCGCUGCCUGUUAUGCCACUGCUGAAAUCAUAAUAUCACAGCAGAGUCUAAACAGAAACCUGGAAGGGGCACCGUGUGUACUACGCAGAUCCCCAGCAUACUGGAAUAGUACACUCACCUUGUCCACAAUGCAGAUCUGCUUCUUGCUUUGCACAUCGAGGAUCUCCACUUCAAAGUAAGUGAUUU
Molecule: non-coding RNA, 430 nt
Organism: Phasianus colchicus (ring-necked pheasant)
Lineage: Eukaryota; Metazoa; Chordata; Aves; Galliformes; Phasianidae
Source: RefSeq, a predicted model, not a curated record